CAAGGAUUAGAGAGAUAUUGGAAAAUGUAGGGCUAGCACAAGAAAGUUUGCCCUCAAAUGUGGUUGGGUCAGCUCAAGUUUUGGCAAAUGUGGCAAACUUGUUGAAUAUAAGAGAUACUGAACUAAGUAGUUUUCUUGUAGCAAUGGGGGAUAUUUCCUUAAGAAAGACUGGAGUAGAGGAAAAGAGGGCUAAAGCACAGAAAGAGUCCAAAAUUCUUCUCGAUUACACUCGG
Molecule: unclassified non-coding RNA, 233 nt
Filed under: Hevea brasiliensis (rubber tree)
Lineage: Eukaryota; Viridiplantae; Streptophyta; Magnoliopsida; Malpighiales; Euphorbiaceae
Source: RNAcentral